CCUUACCUAUUACUAGCUUCACUUUCUCUGUCAGGACUCUGUCUUUGUUCACCAGUGGUCCCUUUUUUCCCUGUGACGGAGCAUGUUGUCAUUUUUUCUAAGGUGGAAAUGGAGUCCAUCACAGUUCUGAGUAACAUAAGUGUAUGGAAUUGAAACGACAUAAGGGUUGAUGAUGACAAGGUGAUGACACAAAGGAGCUUCCAUUGCCUUUAUUGCAACUAGGACUGACAAUAAUGUCUGCAAACCCUUCUCCAAAUAUUAAGUCUUAUUCUAUUACAACAUUGCCACCUGCCAGCAACCAAAUAUCUGUUUAAAAAUAUGUUGUCAAUUUUUGUAAAUAGAUCAUUUUGUCAAAAUAAAGAUUAAAAAAAUCUGCCACCACAUUUGUGUGUAUA
Molecule: long non-coding RNA, 395 nt
Organism: Paramisgurnus dabryanus
Lineage: Eukaryota; Metazoa; Chordata; Actinopteri; Cypriniformes; Cobitidae
Source: RefSeq, a predicted model, not a curated record